AUGAUUUUAUCUCUAACAAAGUUUAAAUGUCUUUUGUGUAUACAGACAGCUGUAUUUUACUUUCCGAAGCAAAAAGAUUCUGUGAAGAAAAUUAAAUCCUUUUAUUACAUGGAGAACAGAUUGGAAGUUCCUGAAUUCCAAAUCCUUUGUGAAUUGCACUUUGUUCUGGAUGCAGAUGGAAGUGUAACUGUCCUGGUGAGCAUUUGCCAUCAUCAUAAAUCAUUGUUCCCAUAUGGAGAUGGACCACCACUCUCCACACCACGAGGAUGAUAUCGUCACACACCCGGGACUCUCUCAGGCAAAACUAUGUGAAUUCCUACUUCUUUUCUCAGAAGGCAAGAAGAUGAUGGGCUUCAGUGCACAUCCAACUGCAAUCACACCAGUCGGACAAGAGUACUAGUCUAGCUAGGAAAACUAUGCCCAAUCUUUUUGCUAGGCAUGUGGGCUCUGGGAAUACGCAGUAUCAAGGAAAGCAAAUUUGGCUGCCAGCCAUUACUAACAGAACAGUGAUCUCUGGUCAUCAUGACCCCAGGACAGCACAGGCCAUGCAGAUAAGGCGACUGGGUGGUAGAGGGGUGUGAUAGUGCAGGUGGGAGCUGGCUGAAAUAGCUGGGACUGUAAACGAAACCGCACUGAAAUGACUUGUAAUCGCAGCAAAAGCUCGAGCAGUUCGUGAUGAACACUGGUGAGAGUUGUCUGGUGUCACCGCAUCUUUCUACUUUGAUGGCCCCUGCUUGCAGAGGUCCUGCACAGACAUGUCAAAGUAGGAGUGAAAAAGGAACUGAGUUUCAGCACUCCACCAAGCUGCAGGAUUAGUUUUAAACUCUGUUUUAGGGAUAUGUGAAAAAUAGGGAUGUUCAAAAGAUGAUCAGCUGUAGGAUUAAACACGCCAUCCUGACGGCAGAGACGGGUCAGGUUCAUCAGGGAAAAGACUUUGUGUUGUCAGAUAAAUGUUGCCAAAUGUUUUGGUGUGAGUUACAAAAUGACUUAGCUUGCAUUAACU
This 1003-nucleotide long non-coding RNA is filed under the name Struthio camelus australis. Its description in RNAcentral is "lncRNA (ENSSCUG00000012173.1)". Lineage: Eukaryota; Metazoa; Chordata; Aves; Struthioniformes; Struthionidae. The record is from RNAcentral.